AUUGAACGCUGGCGGCAGGCUUAACACAUGCAAGUCGAGCGGAGAGAGGUAGCUUGCUACUGAUCUUAGCGGCGGACGGGUGAGUAAUGCUUAGGAAUCUGCCUAUUAGUGGGGGACAACAUUUCGAAAGGAAUGCUAAUACCGCAUACGUCCUACGGGAGAAAGCAGGGGAUCUUCGGACCUUGCGCUAAUAGAUGAGCCUAAGUCGGAUUAGCUAGUUGGUGGGGUAAAGGCCUACCAAGGCGACGAUCUGUAGCGGGUCUGAGAGGAUGAUCCGCCACACUGGGACUGAGACACGGCCCAGACUCCUACGGGAGGCAGGAGUGGGGAAUAUUGGACGAUGGGCGCAAGCCUGAUCCAGCCAUGUCGCGUGUGUGAAGAAGGCCUUAUGGUUGUAAAGCACUUUAAGCGAGGAGGAGGCUACUUUAGUUAAUACCUAGAGAUAGUGGACGUUACUCGCAGAAUAAGCACCGGCUAACUCUGUGCCAGCCGCCGCCGUAA
Molecule: ribosomal RNA, 501 nt
Filed under: uncultured bacterium
Lineage: Bacteria
Description: partial 16S ribosomal RNA
Rfam family: Bacterial small subunit ribosomal RNA
Source: RNAcentral